Molecule: ribosomal RNA, 45 nt
Filed under: Orbilia zhongdianensis
Lineage: Eukaryota; Fungi; Ascomycota; Orbiliomycetes; Orbiliales; Orbiliaceae
Description: partial 28S large subunit ribosomal RNA
Source: RNAcentral
UGACCUCAGAUCAGACAAGGAUACCCGCUGAACUUAAGCUUCAUA